This 863-nucleotide ribosomal RNA is filed under the name uncultured soil bacterium. RNAcentral describes it as "bacterial SSU rRNA". It matches the Rfam family "Bacterial small subunit ribosomal RNA", at positions 26 to 868 of the family's 1533-position model. The record is from RNAcentral.
AGAACGAACGUUGGCGGCGUGGAUUAGGCAUGCAAGUCGUACGGGAUCCGGGGGCAACUCCGGAUUUAGUGGCGAACGGGUGAGUAACGCGUGGGAAACCUGCCCUAGAGACCGGGAUAACACUCCCAACGGGGUGCUAAUACCGGAUAAGACCACGGGGCUGCAUGGCCCUGAGGUCGAAGGUGGCCUCUACUUGUAAGCUACCGCUCAAGGAUGGUCCCGCGUCCCAUUAGCUUGUUGGCGGGGUAAUGGCCCACCAAGGCGACGAUGGGUAGCUGGUCUGAGAGGAUGGUCAGCCACACUGGGACUGAGAUACGGCCCAGACUCCUACGGGAGGCAGCAGUCGAGAGGCUUCGGCAAUGGGGGAAACCCUGACCGAGCGACGCCGCGUGGGCGAUGAAGGCCGUUAGGUUGUAAAGCCCUGUCGUGCGGGAAGAAACGCAGGUGGGUAAACAAUCCAUCUGUCUGACGGUACCGCGAAAGGAAGCUCCGGCCAACUCCGUGCCAGCAGCCGCGGUAAUACGGGGGGAGCGAACGUUGUUCGGAAUUACUGGGCGUAAAGGGCGUGCAGGCGGCCUUGUAAGUGGAAUGUGAAAUGCCCUGGCUCAACCAGGGAACUGCAUCCCAUACUGCAAGGCUUGAGUAUAGGAGAGGAUGGGGGAGUUCCCGGUGUAGCGGUGAAAUGCAUUGAUAUCGGGAGGAACACCAGUGGCGAAAGCGCCCAUCUGGCCUAAUACUGACGCUCAGCGCGAAAGCUAGGGGAGCAAACAGGAUUAGAUACCCUGGUAGUCCUAGCCGUAAACCGUGGGCACUAGUGUAGGAGCAUCGACCCCUCCUGUGCCGCAGCUACCGCAUUAAGUGCC